This 273-nucleotide ribosomal RNA is filed under the name uncultured bacterium. RNAcentral's name for it is "partial 16S ribosomal RNA". It matches the Rfam family "Bacterial small subunit ribosomal RNA", at positions 524 to 790 of the family's 1533-position model. The record is from RNAcentral.
UACGAAGGGGGCUAGCGUUGCUCGGAAUUACUGGGCGUAAAGGGCGCGUAGGCGGAUCGUUAAGUCAGAGGUGAAAGCCCAGGGCUCAACCCUGGAAUUGCCUUUGAUACUGGCGAUCUUGAGUACGGGAGAGGUGUGUGGAACUCCGAGUGUAGAGGUGAAAAUUCGUAGAUAUUCGGAAGAACACCAGUGGCGAAGGCGACACACUGGCCCGUUACUGACGCUGAGGCGGCGAAAAGCCGUGGGGAGCAAACAGGGAUUAAGAUACCCGGG